Molecule: transfer RNA, 89 nt
Filed under: Melampsora larici-populina 98AG31
Lineage: Eukaryota; Fungi; Basidiomycota; Pucciniomycetes; Pucciniales; Melampsoraceae
Description: tRNA-Ile for anticodon AAU
Rfam family: tRNA
About the family: Transfer RNA (tRNA) molecules are approximately 80 nucleotides in length.
Source: Rfam by way of RNAcentral
GGUCUGUUAGCUUAGUUGGUAGAGCGUGGUACUAAUAUUCCUGAGGGGUAUCAAUGCCAAGGUCAUGGGUUCGAGCCCCAUACGGACCA